Molecule: ribosomal RNA, 253 nt
Filed under: uncultured bacterium
Lineage: Bacteria
Description: partial 16S ribosomal RNA
Rfam family: Bacterial small subunit ribosomal RNA
Source: RNAcentral
UACGUAGGGACCGAGCGUUGUCCGGAUUCAUUGGGCGUAAAGAGCUCGUAGGCGGCUGUUCAAGUCGAACGUGAAAACUCGGGGCUCAACUCCGAGCCUGCGUUCGAUACUGGACGGCUAGAGUCUGGUAGGGGGAUCUGGAAUUCCUGGUGUAGCGGUGGAAUGCGUAGAUAUCAGGAGGAACACCGAUGGCGAAGGCAGGUCUCUGGGCAUUAACUGACGCUGAGGAGCGAAAGCAUGGGGAGCGAACAGG